GGUGGUCCCAGGCCCUGGACUGCAGGUGAAACCUGCAGGAAGCCCUGUCUGUUCUGUGUGGGACCCCCACUUCCAUCAUGGCCCCCACCACAGACACAGUGAGUCCACUCCAGUCCCUGUCCCAGCCUCUGGAGGGAUGCUGGCUCUGACCCCAUCUGGCCCCCUGCCUUUCCCUCGAGAUGUCCAUGGGCCCCCAACUCUUUGACGAGGUCUCAGACACCCCAAGGAGGCCGGGGAAAGGAUUCCCGGCGCAGCUGAGCUUGAGGCUGGGGGCUUUUCUGUUGUUUCUGCAGCCCCAGGGCCUGGCACCGUAGGACCUCUGCAGGCUGGUGGGGGUGAAUGAAUGAUUGAUUGAUGAAUGAAUGAAUGAAUGAAUGUCAGUUCAGCUGCCAUUUCACCGCCUGGAAUUUGGGACUCGGACUGGCUUCCUGGCUCCUCAGCUUGCAGACGGCCUAUUGUGGGACUUCACCUGGUGAUCAUAGAAACAGUGGACCCACUGAGACCAAGGGCAAGGGGAGGAAAGGCCCGGGGUAGGGCUGAAGACACAGGUUCCAGGCCCAGCUCUGCUGCUCACCGAUGAGGCUUCUCCUCUGUUGAGCAGGUAGCCCCAGUUGGGAGCUGAGGUGUGUUGAUUGGGGCUCUGGGAACCAUAGCCUGCCAGCUGUGGCUUGGCCAUCCCCUCUGCCAGCGCUUUCCCGCCCAUCAGCCCUUUUCUCUGGAGUCCCUCCUUCAGCCAGGUCCUGAAAAGUCAUACCUUUUGGCCAAGCUGCUGAAAAUACUACUCAGCCAGAACUCAUGUGCUCAUGCCAGCCUCAUUCAUGACACCCUCCAAACCAGAAACAGCCCAGGAGCCGAUCAACAGCUUCAUGGGAAAAUGUAUUGCAGUCUAUCUCAUCGCCGGGCCCUUCCGUGGCCGUGGAGACGGGCGAAUCAUGGUCUAUCCCGUCGCCGGGCCCUUCCGCGGCAGUGGAGACAGGCGAAUUGCAGUUAUGCGCAGCAAGGAAGCCUCUCUCAAUCACAUUGAGCAGAAGUGGCCAGGCUCAAUUCUGUGGAAUUCUGUGUGGAUCACAAACAGGCAACAUAGAGGAUGGUGUUUUGGGGUGCAUGUUGAGGGAGAGACGGGGUUCUCUUCAUCACAAUGGUGGCUGGCCUCCAGGAAGGGAGGGACAGUGGCUGGGAGGCCAGGGGCCUCUGGGAUGCUGAAAAAUUCUUUUUCUUCUCCUU
Long non-coding RNA from Homo sapiens (human), 1224 nucleotides. RefSeq annotates it as ZC3H18 divergent transcript. The record is from RefSeq and is marked validated. NCBI's taxonomy places the organism in Eukaryota, Metazoa, Chordata, Mammalia, Primates, Hominidae. The transcript has 3 exons.